Molecule: ribosomal RNA, 3732 nt
Filed under: Triticum aestivum (bread wheat)
Lineage: Eukaryota; Viridiplantae; Streptophyta; Magnoliopsida; Poales; Poaceae
Description: partial small subunit ribosomal RNA
Source: RNAcentral
AUGGCAAUGGCGACACCACCGCACAAGCUCGCCACGAUGGUCGGAUGGUCGGCCUCGGCAUUCGUCGCCGCCGUGCUCGCCCGCCUGAUCCGCAAGGGCAUCGCGCUGCUGGCCGAGCUCGACGAGGCCGCGGUGGGCCACCUGCGUCGCCUGGAGGGGCUCCUCGCGGCCGUCUGGCGCGUGCUCGACGCGGCCGACGCCGGCGCCAUCGACUCGAGCCAGCGCCCCAUCCAGGACCUGCUCGACGCGGCAUGCUCCGCGGACGACGCCCUCGACGACCUCGAGUACGCGCUCCGUCAUGCCGAGGCGGCCGGAGGCGGCGAUCCCGGGUCGAACGCCAGCACGCCGGCCUCGGUCGCCGGCGCCGGCGCCACCAGGAAACCACGCAGCCCUAUGAGGUUCUUGCUGUGCUUCAGCCCACCAAGAACCGCUUCAUCUGCUGGCAGCUCCCUUUGGAAAUGCUCAAGCAAGAAGAGGAGCAGCGCCGUCAAUGCCAAUCUGGACGGACUAAGAGAAGCAUUUGAGGCCGUGGCUCAGGCCGCCUACAGGUGCACGUCCAUGUACGAGCACGUCGUGCCGCGGAAGAACUACGCCACCAUCGUCUCCGUAAAAUCGCCAGGGGACGCCGUACGUGAUAAGUACGACAUCUUCGGCAGGGAGGCCGAGGUGGACCAGAUCGUGAAGGCGGUGAGGCUCGGCGACGACCUGCAUUACCGCCUUGGCGUCGGCGUGCUCCCCGUCGUCGGCGCCGAGGGGGUCGGCAAGACGGCGCUCACCCAGCUCAUCUUCCACCACGAGAUCAUCAAGGCCGAGUUUCCCCUGCGCAUGUGGGCGCACGUCUCUGGCGAGCUCCUGCUCAGUAAGCAGCUCAUGCUCCAGAUGAUCCAUCCGGUGGUUGCAGGAGACGCCGGCCAUGACAUCCAAGACGCCAGGGAGCUUCUGCUGGCCCAGCUGGCCGGCAAGAGGUUCCUCCUCGUGCUCGACCGCAUCACAGAUGUCAGCGAUGCCCAGUGGAGAGAUCUGAUGGAGGUGCUGCAACCAGCUGCUCGGAGGAGCUUGAUCAUGGUGACAACUCAAUCCGAAGAUGCCGCCGCAGCUAUGGGGACAAUGACCCCGCUGAUCCUCGGGCCUCUGGCAUUCGAUGACUACUGGAGGAUGUUCAAGCAUUUCGCAUUUGGGGCUGCAGAUGAAGCCGAAGAAGACUGCACUCCGCUGGUGGAUGAAUGGGACGACCUCGAAGAGGAGGAGGAGGAGCUAUCACCCAUGGAGCAAGUCGCAUGCCAAAUAGCCAAGAACAUGGGCUGCUCACCGUUACCGGCACGGGCAAUCGGGCGUUCACUCUACUUCCGGCGGGACGAAGAAGGCCACUGGAAAGAUGUCCUGGAUGACAACUUGUGGCAGCAGGGGGAAAUCGGCGGGAUCUCGCCGGCGCUCUGGCUGAGCUACCAGCACCUUGAUCCCCGCCUCAAGCAGUGCUUCGCAUACUGUGCGGUGUUUCCAGGUGACUAUGUCUUCCGAAAGGAAGAACUGGAGCAGAUGUGGGUAGCACAUGGGUUCAUAUAUUCCGAUGAUCCCGCGGCGACAUUGGAGGACGUCGCCGGCGAGUUCUUCGAUGAGCUUGUCGAACGAUGCUUCUUCCAGCCUCUGGGAAGGAACAGAUACGUCAUGCACCACACGAUGCAGAGGCUGUCGCGAGCAGUCUCAGGGAGCCAGUUUCACAUGGUCACUGAUAGCUCAGGUGAAGUGCCACAGGAAGUUCGUCACCUGACAAUCACAACUAACAACCUGCUGAAGCUGAAGAUGGAUCUGGCAUUGCAGCUCUCACAUCCCUCCGAUCACCAUUUCCUCCAGCGGGUCCGCACAAUCCUGUUCUUCGAAGAUUUUGGCGAUUCAGAUGAUUUCUUGGAAGUUCUAGCCGAGGUUUUCUCGAUCGCAAAGAGCGUGAGGGUCCUCGGCUUAUCGUCUGCAAACAUUUCACUUCUGCCUGCUGAGAUCGGCCUGCUCCGACACCUCCGGUAUCUCAACCUGUCCAGGAACAGACUCACUGAACUUCCAGAGACAAUGUGCCAGCUCCACCUGCUGCAGGUCCUUGACGACAAGUGCAACUCUCCGUACCUCCGUCCUCCCAAUGGCAUGACAAACUUGAUUCAUCUGAGGCAUCUGCGUGCAUGUGAAGCUUUCCUUUCGGCCAUACCUGACAUCCAACUACUCUCAAAUCUGCAAGAACUGGAGGCAAUCUGCAUCAAGAGUGGCGCGCAUGCCAAUGCCCUACGCCAAAUGGUGCAGCUCAAAGGCGCGCUUCGCGUUGCGAAUCUCCGGCGGAGCGAUGCCAGUGGGUUCAUGAAGGGUAUCCUGAAGGGAACAAAGCACCUGAACAAAUUACAGCACCUGAGCAAACUACACCUGUCAUGGCCUAGCAGUUCCAUGGCCGGAAGCAACGAGGUUUCAGGAAUAAGGUCUCCACCAUGGAUGCUGAAGACCUCUUGCUCCCUGCCGAAUGUUACAUCUAUGUGCUUGACAGAUUGCCUGAACUGGGAGAGCCUGCCUUGCUUGCAUGACAUGCCUUGCCUCGAGGUCCUUGAGAUCAAGAGGAUGCACUCUGUCAACAAGGUGGCCAUUUCUCAACUAUCAGAUCAAGAAUUGUUCCCGAAGCUCAAAAGGCUCAUCAUCGAAGACGCUUCGCAUUUCACCGGAUGGUCGACCGGCAACUCGACAAGACACAUGUCAUUCCCCUGCCUCUGCAAGCUGGAGAUAAGAAACUGUCCCAGCCUGACGACCUUUCCGGACGUCCCCCUUACGCUCACCACCAUGAUCAUUGAAAAUGUUGGUCUCGAGCUGCUGCCAAUGAUUCAUGACAAGCAGUCAUCAUCAGAAGAAGCAAUGUCAUCAACAUCAGAGGAAGGUGGUAGAUGGACGUCGCGGCUCACCACGUUACACAUACACCGGUGCCACAAGCUGAGGUCCCUGGGAUCCGGCCUUCUUCAGCAGCAGCACCUCCUGCGGUCUCUCGAGGCUCUGUCGAUCAAGAGCUGUGACGAUGUCGCCUGCGAUCUGCCCGACGGCUUCAAGGAUCUCACCGCGCUGAGGGACCUCUCACUGUACGACUGCCCGAAGCUGCUCGUGGACAAGUUCCACGCGUCGCUGCGGACGCUGGAGAUCAGCGAGUGCUUCGUCGCGCGGGGCGGGUGGGUGGACGAGUACCCUUUCCUCUUCUCGGUGUGGGUGCUGAAGAUCAGCGGCUGCUCGCACGUGAGCUCCGAUCAUGGCGGCAAGGUUGCUGAGUCUCUGGACUGGCUGAGCUCCAUGUUCAACGUGUACAGCCUUCAGCUGGAGAACACGUCGUUUGUGACCCUGAACAUGUUUGACAAGCUCCAUUUUCUCGAGACACUCGAGAUCGACGGGAGCCGUGGCGCGUUCUUUGACGGUUCCUGGGAGUUUGAGUGGCUGGAGAAGCUGCACACCCUGAGCAUCAGAGGCUGCGGUGAACUGAGUGAGCUGCCGGAGAACCUGUACACUCUGCCUGCGCUGGAAGAGCUGUGUGUGGACAACUGCCCGGCCAUUCAGGCACUGCCGGCGAACGGCUUGCCGGCGUCGCUGAAGAGGCUCUCCAUAUCCAAGUGCAGUCCGGAGCUGAUCCAGAGGUGCCUCGACGACGAACUUGAUCGGCCCAAGAUUGCCAAGGUUGGUGUCGUUUACAUUGAUGGGCAUAAUAUUGCUGCUCGGCAGGAGUAG